GACAGAGGGGGCAAGCGUUGCUCGGAAUCACUGGGCGUAAAGGGCGCGUAGGCGGGAUGGCAAGUCGGUCGUGAAAUCCUUCGGCUCAACCGAAGAACGUCGGCCGAUACUGCCGUUCUUGAGGGAUGCAGAGGAGAUUGGAAUUUCCGGUGUAGCGGUGAAAUGCGUAGAGAUCGGAAGGAACACCGGUGGCGAAGGCGGCUACCUGGCCUGAUACUGACACUGAGGCACGAAAGCGUGGGGAGCAAACAGG
This 253-nucleotide ribosomal RNA is filed under the name uncultured bacterium. RNAcentral's name for it is "partial 16S ribosomal RNA". It matches the Rfam family "Bacterial small subunit ribosomal RNA", at positions 524 to 776 of the family's 1533-position model. The record is from RNAcentral.